Molecule: long non-coding RNA, 512 nt
Filed under: Sarcophilus harrisii (Tasmanian devil)
Lineage: Eukaryota; Metazoa; Chordata; Mammalia; Dasyuromorphia; Dasyuridae
Description: lncRNA (ENSSHAG00000030461.1)
Source: RNAcentral
CUCAGAGAGAUUAAAUGUGUAUGACCUGGGUUCACACAAGCCUCCCAAACACUGAACUUGCUCUGGCAAUGUGUGAAGCAAUCUCAUCUUCUCUGUGGAUAUCCCUGGAAAGUAAACUGCCAAAAUCAGGAAACUGAGGCUUAUAUAGAGGGAAGGUCUUGCCCAAGCCGAACAUGUAAGUAUUGAAGCCAGGAUUUUUACCCUCAAAUUCAUGUUGCAAAUAUUUUCCAUUAUUCUAUAGUGCUUCCAAAUAAGAAACUAUUCAUUUGACACAAGUUGUCACUUCACUCAAACCCUCACAACCACCACAGACAUUUAUUAAGUGCCUAAAUGUAAAAAGCAUUAGGUUAGGUGCUAAGAGAAAUGCAAAAUUUAGAUGAAAAUCAGCAUCUAGCUUUACAAAAUUUAAACUCAAGUAAAGUGACAAUAUAAUUGGUUUUCUUUGUUAUCUUAUCUUUUCUUAUUUUAUACAUUUAAAAAUUGUACUCUGAGAAGAGGCUCAUAGAUUUUCC